RNAcentral lists this unclassified non-coding RNA (200 nucleotides) under soil metagenome. RNAcentral's name for it is "partial contains internal transcribed spacer 2 and large subunit ribosomal RNA". The record is from RNAcentral.
UGUUCGAGCGUCAUUAUAACCACUCAAGCCUGGCUUGGUAUUGGGGUUCGCGGUGCCGCGGCCCCUAAAAUCAGUGGCGGUGCCGGUAGGCUCUAAGCGUAGUAAAUAUCCUCGCUAUAGGGUCCCUCCGGUUACUCGCCACGAACCCCCCAUUUUUUCAGGUUGACCUCGGAUCAGGUAGGGAUACCCGCUGAACUUAA